Molecule: non-coding RNA, 417 nt
Organism: Tachysurus vachellii
Lineage: Eukaryota; Metazoa; Chordata; Actinopteri; Siluriformes; Bagridae
Source: the annotation of a RefSeq genome assembly
GUUUGUGUUCAUUUACAGCAGCAGGAAUCAUUUUAAUUCUUUGAGAUGGGACUAGGCAGAGUUUUGAGUUACUUUACUCUAUCAAUCUUCAUUCAAUAUUCCUGCAGUCAGACACUGAUCGAGUCUGAUCCAGUGACCAUCAAACCUGAUCAGUCUCAUAAACUGACCUGCACAGCCUCUGGAUUUAACUUUGGUAGCUAUUACAUGGCUUGGAUCAGACAGGGACCUGGAAAAGGGCUGGAAUGGGUUGCAACUAUCCACGGCAGUAGCAUAUAUUACUCUAAUGCUGUUAAAGGCCGCUUCACCAUCUCCAGAGACGACAGUAAGAAGCAGGUGUAUCUGCAGAUGAACAGCAUGAGGACAGAAGACACUGCAGUUUAUUACUGCUCAUGUGAAAAAGAAAGUGCACCCUCUUGA